AGAUGAUGAUCCCAAGCCUUCUGGCGAUCUGUUUAUACAAGCCUCUAAGGGGGAUGGAAGAUAUUCUUUCUUUGAUCAGAUUAUGCGAUUGAAGGUUUUCAGUUUUCCUCGUAGGGCUUGUAGCUCAGUCGGUUAGAGCGCGCGCUUGAUAAGCGUGAGGUCGGAGGUUCAAGUCCUCC
RNAcentral lists this unclassified non-coding RNA (179 nucleotides) under Bartonella rochalimae. Its description in RNAcentral is "partial 16S-23S ribosomal RNA intergenic spacer". The stretch from base 114 to 179 matches the Rfam family "tRNA", at positions 1 to 63 of the family's 71-position model. Lineage: Bacteria; Pseudomonadati; Pseudomonadota; Alphaproteobacteria; Hyphomicrobiales; Bartonellaceae. The record is from RNAcentral.